RNAcentral lists this long non-coding RNA (2470 nucleotides) under Homo sapiens (human). RNAcentral's name for it is "novel transcript, antisense to LIMCH1". Lineage: Eukaryota; Metazoa; Chordata; Mammalia; Primates; Hominidae. The record is from RNAcentral.
AAUGCCACACUGCAGAUUCCCUGGGAUGCUCGCGAAAGUCCCCUCUGCAUUCCCAAUAGAAAGGAAAAAUAAAUAUUCUUCAUGUUAGCAGUUUUGGAAACUGGUCUAAACUGUCUAGGAUGCCCACGGGAGCCAAUGCCUUUGCAGGAAGUGCCUUUGCUGGCUGCUUCUAUCAAUUAUAUCCUGAGCCUCUGACAUACUCCGCAGCAGGAGGCCCUUUGCGGGGGACAGAGUGGCUGUAAUUUACAAGACACACACAGCUUUGCAUCAAGAGAAGGGAGUGGGCAAGAGGACAAGGGCAGGACGGAGAGGAGCACCCUGCAGCCUCCAGACAGAGGACUGAUUAAUGCCCUGAAGAACAGGUUGUCAAAUGGCCUGGAUGUCUUGAGCCUAAUUUACCAUCAGGGAAGGCAGACACUCAGGGAGGCGGACCGCUGGUCACAUCUGGAAAUGACACAGCUACAAGUUCCUUGGUGCAGCCAUUACACAACUGGACUUUCAAGAAAAUAAUAUCAGAAAGGCUCCCCACAGGCCCAAAUGUCUUCCCCACCCUCACCCUACAAACCACAGGAGAAGAAAGGAGAAAGUCAACAUGCCUCUUGGAGCGUUAGUUGCUUUCUCACAGAUAGUUAUGGGAAGGAAAAACAGAGAGGCCGUUAUAUUCACGGCUGUGUAGAAAGCCAAGAAUCAAACCUUGGACCAAGUGCAAGAGCUGGGAGCUGAAUGGCAUGGCCAGUUUGAACAGUGAAAACCAGGCCACCCAGGGCUGUGCUUGGCCAAGCUCGUCCCGAGGAAGCUCAGGGUGAAGUGACAGGCUGGCUCUUCAGCCAGAAAUAAAAAUGAGGAUAUCAGCUGGAUGGACAAUUCUAUUGGUUCCCAUCAAGUCACCAUAUCUCAUUUUCUGGUCACUUAAAGUGAAGCUUCUGAUGGCGAGCAGAAGAUAUAAACCAACAGAGACUAGCACAUCUACAUUCUCCUUUCUUGGGCUCUAAUUAACAUUGUCUCUGCUUUUCAUCUAGAAUCUCAGUCCCUUGUGCUAACUGCUACUGAGUUACUCUAGUUAAAGUAUGUUAAUGAAGGGGUGAGAACUACUAGCUUCAUGAAAUUUUGGGAUUAUUUUACUCAUCUUCCUCCUAUCCCCCUUUCUCAGACAUAACAAGAACCAGCUAGGACUGGUGGAUGACUUAACAGUUUCUGAGAAACUCCAGAUGCUUCUCUUUUACUGCUCAACAUUUUCUGCUCCCUUUGUGAUUUGUAAGGUGGCUCACCCUGAUCUAGAGGGCUUUAGGGUUCUACUUUUCCAGCCUGCUCAGCCACUCUCCACCCACCACCCUCUGGUUGUGGAAGCUGUUCAUUCCACAAAUAUCUACUGAGCAUCUUCUGUGUGACAGGCACUGUUCUAGUUCACAACAUUCCAGAAAAAUCAACAAAUACCCUGUCUUCAUGGGUCUUAAAUUCCAGUAAAGAAGACAAAAAAUACACAGAAAAACACAAAUGAAUACAAAAUUGGAUGAUAAGUAUCAUGAAAAAAAAAAAAAACAUAAGGUGGGUUGAGGGACUAGAAAUUGAGAUGGUUGCUCUUUUAGGCAGAGAUCUUGCAUCUGCUUGCCCACCAUGCUCCCUCCCCUUUUCCCUUUCUUCCUGUAAUACCCCUCACCCCCUGAAACAGGAGUAGCCUGGGCCAGUCACGGUAUCACUUGCCCCUGAUCACAGUGACUGCUUCAGGAAUAAGGUCCACAUGGGGCCAGGGUACAUUACUAGGAAUUUUUUACACCUGGGGCCAGGGGACAGCAUUCCCUUGCUUUUCUGGGCAAGGAGCUAGAAGCAAGUAAUCCUGGGGAUGAUACUGGCCACGCUCCCUGUUAUAAGGGAAUGUUUGCCUAUAGGAAGAAAUAAUGAGUUUAAGGAGAGAUAAGAGAUGAGAGAAAGAUCCUGAAAUCUCCAGGGCCACCCUCGUCCCCAUGGGUGUCCCUUCAAUCUUAAUAUUCUUGUAGUAAAUCCUCUUUGUUCAGCUGAAGUGCCACUUCCUUUGGAAGGACUUUUCUGACAUAUCCAGUCUCAGUGAAAGGCCACUGUCACUGUGAUGUUAGAGAUCCUUUAAAAAAAAAUACAGCAGUAGCAGCAAUCUAUGAAUACCUACUACAUGCCAGACUUUAUGCCAAGGGCUCUACCUGGGUCACCUUUACUAUAGAACUUAACAAGUUGCACCCUAGUGAAUCAUUUUUAUGCACAUUUCACCCACUAGAAAAAUGAAUAUAAAAAUUUGUGGAUAAUCUCCUUUGUGAAAGAAAAAAAACUAAUUUCAAAUUUAUUUCAGCCUGCAUAUGUGCAGAAGAGAUUACAGUUGUCCCUCAAUAUCUGCUCUCCUAACAAAAAUGCCUACAGUUUUUAGCUGAAAUAAAGUCUACUUUCCCCAAGUCUUUGCUUGCAGCUAGAUAUGGAUGCAUGACCAAGUUCAAGUCUGUAAGAU